UACGAAGGGGGCUAGCGUUGCUCGGAUUGACUGGGCGUAAAGGGCGCGUAGGCGGUUCGUACAGUCAGACGUGAAAUUCCUGGGCUCAACCUGGGGCUGCGUUUGAUACGUGCGGACUUGAGUGCGGAAGAGGGUCGUGGAAUUCCCAGUGUAGAGGUGAAAUUCGUAGAUAUUGGGAAGAACACCGGUGGCGAAGGCGGCGACCUGGUCCGAUACUGACGCUGAGGAGCGAAAGUGUGGGAGCGAACAGG
RNAcentral lists this ribosomal RNA (251 nucleotides) under uncultured bacterium. Its description in RNAcentral is "partial 16S ribosomal RNA". It matches the Rfam family "Bacterial small subunit ribosomal RNA", at positions 524 to 776 of the family's 1533-position model. The record is from RNAcentral.